ACCUCUAUUGCCCCUUUUCCACCGGCUCUACUUCAGCAGCUCGGCUCUAUUUCGGAGUGACCGCGUUUCCACCGGCCGGCUCGGCUCUGUAGCACGGUGCCGCCCCCUGGUGGUGGGGGGUAUAGCGCUCCGCCUCCAGGCGCCAUGUGCUGUGCUUAGUUACGCGACCUAACGCCAGAUGUUGUUUUUCUGGGACAAAAGAAGAAGAGAGAGCUGAGCUAUUGUUUUAUAGCCGAUUGUGAUUUUUCUGGGACUUCAAGAAAAUGCGCGGUGGGAGGAAAACUGUGAUGUGGUGAGGAAGAGGAGGAGGAAAAGGAGGAGGAAGAGGAGGACAGCUGAUCUCCACCUUGCAGGGAGGAAAGCAGGUGGUUCAGACGGUGCAGAUGUUGGUGAACUGCAGACCAUCGCGGUUCUUCCUGCAGCCUCUGAGUUGGAGGAUCUCAUCAGUGUCCGUCUUCCUGACCGCCGGUCGGUUUUUACCUCCAGGAUGUCCAGAGACCUUCAGCUUCUGGAGCAGGAACCACAUGAGCUCCAUGUGCUGAUGAAACAUUUCUAAUUUAAAAUGUGUCUGAUGUUCUUAGAGUUGAAGUGCAUUAACAAUCUGUUGUUUUUCACUUCAAUAUGUUUAAUUAUGAUUCAUCUGAUGUCCAAGUUACACUGAGAACAAAUAAAACUGUAUUCCUUCUAAUCUGACUGGUUCUAGUUUUAAUCAAACCUUCAUGUUUCCACUUUUUAGUCUCUAAGAAUUAAAAGUUUAAACUCUUAGUCUUAUUUAUCACUAAUUAAGGUUCCAGGAUUGUAUUAGGACCUUGAUGCCAAACAAACUACAGUUUGUACAAUAAUGUGAGGAGAGAUUAUAAAAAAGAGACUUUGUUCACUGAGAGAAAACAGCAUUUAUUUUCUUCUUUUAUUUGCCUCGGCUCUUCAUGGAGCUCUGCCAUCAGCUGGUAGCUGCUUCCUCCUGAAGGAGAUCCAGUUGUUGUUCUGACGGUUCUCCUCAUCGUUCUCCAUCAUGUCAGCCAUGUUCCUCCUCUUCUGUUCUCUGGGAAAAGUAAUCAGAUGUUAGAGCUUGCAGCACAUAAAUGUAGAUAAAUAACAGAGUUACUAAUGUGGGAGUUUGUUACGUCCACAAAGGGCACAACAUAUUUGAGGACACGAAGACAAAAAUGAGGAUUCAGAAGUAAUUUUUAUUUUCAAUUCUCUCGACCUUUUCUUUAAGAUGAGCUUCUUUUGAUUUUUCUGUGAAGAAAAAGAAAAUUAAAUCCUCGGUUCCCCGUGUAGCAUAUUUGAAAAUAACUGAAUUGUUAUUCAAUAUAAAAUAGCUUUUAACCAAGUAGACAGGCUAGGUUUUCUUCCCUUUUUCAGAAGAGUAGGUACGACUCAAAAAAAGAGCAGGUAGGCUAGAGUUUUGCAGCUGCGAGUAUUUUGUAUUUGCAAUGUGAAUAUUAUAUUUACAUAUUUACAACCACACAUUUGGGAUAUGAAACAUAGGCAUGAAAGAAAGGGGAAAAAAAACAAUGAAAUAAAAAAAAGAAAAAUACAAGGGAAAAAAAACAACAAAAAAACUAAUUAAUUAAUCGGUCCCAAAGUUAAAGUUCAUCUCACACCCCCCCUUAGUCCAUCCACCCCGAAUGGGGAUCAAUCAGGCUCACCAACAAGGCGAGUAUCCGGAGCUUGAUUCACGUCUUGGGUAAAUGAAAGUCCAAUCAAAGAAGGAGCAGAGUCCUUUGUAGGAUUCUCCUACCGGCUGGGUAGGAGAAGUAAACAGUCCUUAAUCACCAACAGGUGAAUUCUUUCCUUGGCUCUAGGCCUGGUCUCAUAGCUCGCCAUCCAUCUGGCCUGAACAACAAAACAGGACCACUUCCUCAAUAUAAUUAUAUUUUCUAAUAUUCUUAGUGUAUACACGGUUCAAUAAAUAAUUCUAUCAUAUUCAAUCAAUUGCAAUAAAUCUAAAAUUCAAUAUAAAUUACAUUCAUGAAACAUUCAAUAAAUAUACACCAUAUUAUCAAUUAACAUGAAAUGUAAAAUACUAAUACAAACCAGUGCUCAAUAAAUACUUCAAUUACCCGUUUUGGUUAUCAAAAGCAAUGUUCAAUCAGUUUUUAGUGGCUACACAAUAGCAGUGAUUACAAGCCAACGCUAAGUCAUUCAUAACAACACUCACCAGUUCCGCAGUUUUGUGUCAUACUACCGGAUCUUUUCCAUCUCCCUUUCCGGCUCACAAUAAUGGGCUCCUACAGUUCAGUACAUUAAGUGAGCAUCGUACAUAUUUACAGACAUUAAAUGAUACUACGCUUUAACUGACCUGCCAGCUCUGCUCCUUCCGACGCGAUCUAACCUUCAUGCCUUUCGCUCCA
Long non-coding RNA from Xiphophorus hellerii (green swordtail), 2357 nucleotides. RefSeq lists it as uncharacterized. NCBI's taxonomy places the organism in Eukaryota, Metazoa, Chordata, Actinopteri, Cyprinodontiformes, Poeciliidae. The record is from RefSeq and is a predicted model, not a curated record. The transcript is spliced from 3 exons.